ACCCGUACAAUCACCGAAGAUAAACAACGUCGAGCCAGGUCAGUACUUAGAUGGGUGACAACUUGUGAAUACCAGGUGCUGUAAG
Molecule: non-coding RNA, 85 nt
Organism: Acanthosepion pharaonis
Lineage: Eukaryota; Metazoa; Mollusca; Cephalopoda; Sepiida; Sepiidae
Source: the annotation of a GenBank genome assembly